Molecule: ribosomal RNA, 451 nt
Filed under: uncultured organism
Description: partial 16S ribosomal RNA
Rfam family: Bacterial small subunit ribosomal RNA
Source: RNAcentral
ACACUCCUGCGGGAGGCAACAGUGGGGAAUAUUGGACAAUGGGCGCAAGCCUGAUCCAGCCAUGCCGCGUGAGUGAUGAAGGCCCUAGGGUUGUAAAGCUCUUUCACCGGUGAAGAUAAUGACGGUAACCGGAGAAGAAGCCCCGGCUAACUUCGUGCCAGCAGCCGCGGUAAUACGAAGGGGGCUAGCGUUGUUCGGAUUUACUGGGCGUAAAGCGCACGUAGGCGGACUAUUAAGUCAGGGGUGAAAUCCCGGGGCUCAACCCCGGAACUGCCUUUGAUACUGGUAGUCUUGAGUUCGAGAGAGGUGAGUGGAAUUCCGAGUGUAGAGGUGAAAUUCGUAGAUAUUCGGAGGAACACCAGUGGCGAAGGCGGCUCACUGGCUCGAUACUGACGCUGAGGUGCGAAAGCGUGGGGAGCAAACAGGAUUAGAUACCCCUGUAGUCCCAUGA